UGUCCUUGUGUCCCUGUGUGCCAGUGUUCCUGCAUUCCCAUGUCCCAGUGUCCCUGCAUUCCUGUGCCCCUGUGUCCCCAUGUCCCUACAUUCCCAUGUCCCAGUGCCUCUGUGUCCCUGCAUUCCCAUGUCCCUGUGUCCCUGUAUUCCCAUGUCCCUGUGUCCCUGUAUUCCCAUGUCCCUGCAUUCCCAUGUCCCAGUGUCUCUGUGUCCCUGCAUUCCCAUGUCCCUGUGUCCCUGUGUUGUGUCCCUGCAUCCCCAUAUUGCCGUGUCCCUGUAUUUCUAUGUCCCUGCAUCCCUGUGUCCAUUUCCCCAUGUUCCCAUAUCCCUGUUUCCCCAUGUUCCCAUAUCCCUGUUUCCCCAUGUUCCCAUAUCCCUGUUUCCCCAUGUUCCCGUGUCCGUGCAUCUCCGUGUCCCCACAUCCCCGUGAUCCCAUAGCUCUGUGUUCCUGUGUCCCUGCAUUCCCAUGUCCCCGUGAGCCCAUAUCCCUGUGUUCUCAUGUUCUCAUGUCCCUGUGUUCCCAUGUUCCCACGUCCCUGUGUUCCCGUGUUCCAUAUCACUGUCCCCAUGUCCCUGUGAGCCCAUGUCCCUGUGUUCCCAUGUUCCCAUGUCCCUGUGUUCCCAUGUUCCAUGUCCCUGUGAGCCCAUAUCCCUGUGUCCCCGUGUUCCCAUAUCCCUGUGCUCCCAUAUCCCUGUGUUCCCAUGUUCCCAUGUCCCUGUGUUCCCAUAUCCCUGUGUUCCCAUGUCCCUGUGUUCCCAUAUCCCUGUGUUCCCAUGUCCCUGUGUUCCCAUGUUCCAUAUCCCUGUGUUCCCAUGUUCCCAUGUCCCCAUGUUCCCAUAUCCCUGUGUUCCCAUGUUCCCAUAUCCCUGUGUUCCCAUGUCCCCAUGUUCCCAUAUCCCUGUGUUCCCAUGUUCCAUAUCCCUGUGUUCCCAUGUUCCCAUGUCCCCAUGCUCCCAUAUCCCUGUGUUCCCACGUUCCAUGUCCCUGUGUUCCCGUGUUCCAUGUCCCUGUGUUCCCAUGUUCCAUGUCCCUGUGUCCCCACACCUGCAGUCCCCGGGUGGGCUCCACUCCAGACCCCCACAGGCACCACUGGCCUGGAGCUGCUGCCACAGCUGCAUCCACGGCCACAUCUGGAUCUGUGGUAACCCCUGGAUCUGUGUCCAGCACAUCUGCAUCAGUGCCAGUGCCUGCAUCCCUGGCAACACCUGGAUCCGUGCACCCACCACCACAUCUGCAUCUGGGGCCACAGCUGGAUCAGUGCCCACAGUCACACCCACGGCACAUCUGGAUCCUCCCACACAGCUGCAUCCACAGCCACAUCUGUGUCCCUGCCCACAUCUGGAUCCUCACACACAGCUGCAUCCACAGCCACAUCUGUGUCCCUGCCCACAUCUGGAUCCGUGCCCAGGACUGCAGCUGUGGCCACAUCUGCAGGCACAUGCACAUCUGUAUGCACAGGUCACAGCUGUACCCACAUCUGCACCAGUGCCAACGUCCCUCUGGGCACUCCAAUCCCAAGUCUGGGCCCCAGGGGGGGCCAGGAUGGGCCAGGGGGGAUCUGGGAUCCGCCCUGGAAUUAUGAAUCACGGUGUAAUUACCCCAAAUGGGCCCAGAGCUCCAGAGCUUCAAUCAGGGAAAUCACAGGAGUUCCAGGGAAUUUUAACAUCCAGAGACAUUAAUGAGAACAGGCUCAAACAUGGGGAUCUGUCCUGCUCACAUCCUGCAUCCCUCCUGUACACAUCCUGCAUCCCUGAUGCAUCCCUCCUGCAUCCCUCCUGUACACAUCCUGCAUCCCUGAUGGAUCCAUCCUAUACACAUCCUGCAUCCCUCCUGCAUCCACCCUGUACACAUCCUGCAUCCCUCCUGCAUCCCUCCUGCACACAUCCUGCAUCUCAUCUGCAUCACUCCUACCCCCACCUUUCAUCCAUCCUACAUCCCUCCUCCAUCUGCCCAAGGCAUCUGGGAUCUCUUGGAAUCACCCAGUAUCCCUCAGAAUCACCUGGGAUCUCUCAGGAUCACCUGGGACACUCUCAGUAUUGCCUGGGAUCUCUCAGUGUCCCCUGGGAUCUGUUGGUGACACCCUGGAUCUCUCAAUAUCACCCUGAAUCUCUCAGGGUCACCCUGGAUCUCUCAGGAUCACCCGGGAUCUCUCCACAUCCCACAGGACACUCUCAGUAUUCCCAGGAUCUCUC
This 2193-nucleotide long non-coding RNA is filed under the name Manacus vitellinus (golden-collared manakin). RNAcentral's name for it is "lncRNA (ENSMVIG00005011019.1)". The record is from RNAcentral. Lineage: Eukaryota; Metazoa; Chordata; Aves; Passeriformes; Pipridae.